This 327-nucleotide small RNA is filed under the name Oryza sativa Japonica Group (Japanese rice). RNAcentral describes it as "sRNA Os12g0167950". The record is from RNAcentral. Lineage: Eukaryota; Viridiplantae; Streptophyta; Magnoliopsida; Poales; Poaceae.
UAGGCCUUGAGCUUGCCGAAGAACCUCUGCUUCUCGUCGGUGGUCUGGAAGCGACCGUGCCCGAACUUGGACGAGGUGUCGAUGAACUUGAGCUUGAUCUCCUCCAGGGCGAGCCGCGAGGUCUGCUUCAGCAGCGACUGGCGGAGGGUGACGACUCUCUUCUUCGGACCGACGCAGCAACCCUUGAUCAUGAGGUAGUCGCCCUUCACCACACCGUAGUGCGGGAAGCCGCCCAUCGGGGUGAUGUCCUUCUCAGUCCUGCAAGGGAGAAAGGCCGCAUGAGACUCCUGACCAGACUUGCCAAUCUUGUAAACCUUCUUGUUCAUC